UCCUAGUUAACCUAGGCAGCCUCACUAGAGUACCCGGCUCUCCCGUUGGUAACUAAUGACAAGGGUUGCGCUCGUUGCGGGACUUAACCCAACAUCUCACGACACGAGCUGACGACAGCCAUGCAGCACCUGUGUGCAGAUUCUCUUUCGAGCACUCCCCGAUCUCUCGAGGAUUUCUGCCAUGUCAAGGGUAGGUAAGGUUUUUCGCGUUGCAUCGAAUUAAUCCACAUCAUCCACCGCUUGUGCGGGUCCCCGUCAAUUCCUUUGAGUUUUAAUCUUGCGACCGUACUCCCCAGGCGGUCUACUUCACGCGUUAGCUGCGUUACCAAGUCAAUUAAGACCCGACAACUAGUAGACAUCGUUUAGGGCGUGGACUAC
RNAcentral lists this unclassified non-coding RNA (378 nucleotides) under uncultured Gammaproteobacteria bacterium. Its description in RNAcentral is "contains 16S-23S intergenic spacer region". Lineage: Bacteria; Pseudomonadati; Pseudomonadota; Gammaproteobacteria. The record is from RNAcentral.